GGGACUGUUGUCUGGCCUUAUCUUGCUUCUACUCCAGUGUUUAGUACAGUGCUUGGCACCUAAGUACUAACAAAUACUGUCAAUAUUAUUAUGUCAAGCAUAACACAAGGCAACAAUGGAAGCUUUGUGCCCCGAAAACACUGAUGGUCAUAUUUGCCCGUAGUUUGCUCCUGGGCAUAUUAAGAUUUCAUUUAUUUCUUUAUCUCUGUCAUCAUAAUUUUAAGCAAAAUAGCUCCGAGCCAUAUUUUCCUUGGAAUGUCAACCUCUAGAGUUAUUUAAAAAAAAAAAAAAAAUUGUAAGAUUUUUACAGUGGAACAGAAAACUGUCUGUUAACUCCUCCUCUCUGCUAGGUUCAUUUCAGCUAAGACAAAUUGGAAAAAGGAAAAACGCUGUAAAGAACUGUGCUUCUUAUUUUCCCUAUUGCCAUCGAAAUACUGGGGUGAUGGGGUGGGUAUCUUGUUUAUUUCAUGGGAUUAGUUUGGCUUGUUUAAAUCUUAAAGUCUGGUAUUCUAAAUUUAUUUUGUAAGUGGAAUUGUAAGAUUGCCGAAGAUCUUAUUUCAUCACCAUUGGCUUUCUUUGCAGAUGAGAAUGGGGGUGAGGAAUUCAAAUGUCAGGUCAGAAAAUGAAUUAGCUCUCCAAGAAGCCCUCUAGCGAAAAUAUAGGCUUUACAUAAUGUGAACUAAAAUGAUUUAAAUUUCAAUCCGAUGUAAAUUAUUCAGAAAAGCUGGGCAGACCACAAUUGUGUAAAAGUAACUGAACUGAACGAAGAUGAAGUAAAUCAAUCUUGUAAGCUUCCAGUUUUCAAUCUGGAAGAUCAAACCAAGACCGGUCAAGUUCUGAAGAGUGAAACUUCUGCUUUCUAAGGUGGUGGGUGUUGAUUCUUCUAAUUAAUUACAGAAAGACGGUUCCUUAACUCGGAGGCAGUGAAGACGUCCUUGACCCUAAACCAAACUCCAGCUACUGAUGGUCACUCAAUCAACCCAUCAACGGGAACCACUGGAUGAUGCUGAGGAAAAGAUUCCGUGUGGGUUUUUUCAGGUUUAUAAACGAGGUGUACGUCGGGAGAUGAACGUAUUAGUCUUUUGAAAAUAGUAGAAAAAAUUUGAAUUUUAAAUUUCCAAGUGUAUGCUUUAUUUUUUAUUUAUUCACAUUCUGUGUCUGCCUCGCAAGAGUUUCUCUGGAAAUGUUUCCCCUUUCCUACGUUUGCAGAUGGGCAAUAGGUCCUAUGACCACUUGAUCCCUCUCCCCGCUCCUGAGAGCAUCCAAGGCAAUGUCGGAGCUAACCUGCUUAGCCCAAGACUCCAGCAGCAAUUCCCGCCACAACGAUUUCCAAGUCUCGGUUUUGAGGGAAAGGCUGAUGAUGAUAACAAUAAUGGUGGGAUUGGUUAAGUGUUUCCUAUGUGCCAAGCCCUGGGGUAGACACAAGAUAAUCAGACUGGACACAGCCCCUAACAGUACAACAGAGGUCUCUACUGGAGUAUGAAGAGUGAUGACCCAGGAGAUAAGCAGAAAACGUCAAGAAAUGCCAGUUACCUAAGCCACGUCCAAACUCUUUAUAGAGUGGGGAGAAAGGAAAUUACCCAGAAUCACCCUCAUUGGGAUGCUGCUUAAUGAGUUAAUUAGAGAAAAGUGAUUAAAAAAUUAAAGACUAAGGCUCUCAUCUGCAUCCGCAACAGCUAAUUUCUGAAAUCAGCCCUGGCCAUUAUUUUUUUUUCUCUCUGAGGCGCUAACCUGCAUUCCAGUCUGCCCGCACUCGAUUACAAGCAACGUGGCUCAGUGGAAAGAACAUG
Long non-coding RNA from Ornithorhynchus anatinus (platypus), 1790 nucleotides. RefSeq lists it as uncharacterized. The transcript is spliced from 3 exons. The record is from RefSeq and is a predicted model, not a curated record. Lineage: Eukaryota; Metazoa; Chordata; Mammalia; Monotremata; Ornithorhynchidae.